This 260-nucleotide ribosomal RNA is filed under the name uncultured bacterium. Its description in RNAcentral is "partial 16S ribosomal RNA". It matches the Rfam family "Bacterial small subunit ribosomal RNA", at positions 82 to 339 of the family's 1533-position model. The record is from RNAcentral.
CCCCUUCGGGGGAGCGGCGAACGGGUGAGUAACACGUUGAUAACCUGCCCUGAAGUGAGGGAUAGCCUACCGAAAGGUGGAUUAAUACCGCAUAGUAAUGGGGGGACAUAAGUCAUUCCCAUUUAAAGUCUUCGGACGCUUCAGGAGGGGUCUGCGCAGUAUCAGUUAGUUGGUGGGGUAAUGGCCUACCAAGACUACGACGCUUAGCUGGUCUGAGAGGAUGAUCAGCCACAAUGGAACUGAGACACGGUCCAUACUCC